GCUUGCUUUGGCAGCCCAUAUUAAAACUGGACUGAUACAGAGAAGAUCAGCAUUUCCUCUAUGAAAGGAUAGGAGAAUUUGUGAAACAUUCAUAGUUUUA
This is a small nuclear RNA of Dipodomys ordii (Ord's kangaroo rat), 100 nucleotides long. The record is from Ensembl. NCBI's taxonomy places the organism in Eukaryota, Metazoa, Chordata, Mammalia, Rodentia, Heteromyidae.